RNAcentral lists this ribosomal RNA (253 nucleotides) under uncultured bacterium. RNAcentral's name for it is "partial 16S ribosomal RNA". It matches the Rfam family "Bacterial small subunit ribosomal RNA", at positions 524 to 776 of the family's 1533-position model. The record is from RNAcentral.
GACAGAGGGUGCAAACGUUGUUCGGAAUUACUGGGCGUAAAGCGCGUGUAGGCGGUCUUCUAAGUCGGAUGUGAAAGCCCCGGGCUCAACCCGGGAAGUGCACUCGAAACUGGAAGGCUAGAGUAUCGGAGAGGUUGGUGGAAUUCUCGGUGUAGAGGUGAAAUUCGUAGAUAUCGAGAGGAACACCGGUGGCGAAGGCGGCCAACUGGACGAAUACUGACGCUGAGACUCGAAAGCGUGGGGAGCAAACAGG